GCAAGUCGAGCGGUAACAUGAAGAAAGCUUGCUUUCUUUGCUGACGAGCGGCGGACGGGUGAGUAACGCGUAGGAAUCUGCCUAGUAGUGGGGGACAACAUGUGGAAACGAAUGCUAAUACCGCAUACGCCCUACGGGGGAAAGGAGGGGAUCUUCGGACCUCUCGCUAUUAGAUGAGCCGGCGUAAGAUUAGCUAGUAGGUGGGGUAAAGGCUCACCAAGGCGACGAUCUUUAGCUGGUCUGAGAGGAUGAUC
RNAcentral lists this ribosomal RNA (254 nucleotides) under uncultured bacterium. RNAcentral's name for it is "partial 16S ribosomal RNA". It matches the Rfam family "Bacterial small subunit ribosomal RNA", at positions 57 to 305 of the family's 1533-position model. The record is from RNAcentral.